GUCAGAACAACCCCAGGGGGAGCUCCUGGUGCAGAACCGGAGCCCGAGACCCUAUGACACUCGCUCCCUCUCUUCCUGCAAGAGCCUCGGGCGAGGAAGCGCCCAGCCCCUCGGACCUGCACUUCAGAGCCCUAACCAUGCCAGCCCCUCCCAGGACAUCUCCGCGCCUGGUGUAGCUGAGGGCUGGUGCCCUGCCCACGGACAGCAGACGAGGGAACGAGGCAAGAGAGGUAAAAAAGUAACUGGCAGAGAUCACACAGCCAGCCGCAGAGACGGGACCCAAUCCUGGGUACUAGGAGUCUACAGGCCCACCGUCUUAACCACACUGCUACACCACCUGCCAAUCACGGCGCACUAAAGUUCUCUUGUGUUGAUGGAUGCAUCAGAAUGACACUGCAUGAAAACUGCGAAUCAGAAGGCCAUGGAGCCCCCCAGUGGCUCAUGAUGUGGGAAUCAUGGUGGAGUGCACGGUGAAACAAGACUGCUCACUUCAUGGCCAGGGAACAAAGGAGAAGGGAGACGAGGCUGGGGUCCUGCAGUCUCGUUCCAGGGCACAGUCCCAGUGGCCCCCACUAAGCCCCACCCCUGAAAGAUGCCAACACCAAUCUGGGGACUAAGCCUUCAACGCAUAGGCCUUGGGAACAUUCUAGAUCCACGCUGUAGCAAGUAUCGUCUAGGCCUAGUGGCUCGCUUCUGAGGAACAGUUAACCACGCCAGUGGGAGGUCACCCCUGACAUCCAGGCUAUGAAUGACUCUGCUUUCUGUUUUGCUCAUCUGCCUGCUUGCUUGGAAGACAUGAGUUUGCCUGUGUCGAGCUGUGCACACAAAGGCUGACAGCCUGGGAGGACUAAAAGGAGCUGACUGCUGCCUCAGUCUCAUGGGUGAACUUGAAAGCCCGUCGUCCCCCAGCCAAGCCUUGGGAAGACACCAGCCCGGGCUGACUCCUGGACUUCAGUCCAUGGGAGACCCUGUGCCUUGGACUCAGCCAAGCUGUGUUUCAUCUCCAGACCCACAGAAAUUGUAAGACAAGAAAUGCUGCUAUGUUAAGAUGCUGAAUCCGUCACUGACAUAGCUGUUUAAGUGUAUUUCAGAGCUCUGACUCUGCAUCUGACCACAGGCCUAUUUCCUGGCUAGAAAAAGGACAAAAACGUUCAACUGCCAUUGGCAUAAGGUGAAGAUGCAGUGCUAGAUAAAGAAGCAAUUGUGAGAGAGAUGAGGCAUCAGUAUGGCUUUUCCAAUUAGCCCCAGUCUUCCCUAGCUCAACACCCCAGAGUCAUACUGUGCCCCUACACCACUCGGG
This 1300-nucleotide long non-coding RNA is filed under the name Heterocephalus glaber (naked mole-rat). RNAcentral's name for it is "lncRNA (ENSHGLG00000049869.1)". The record is from RNAcentral. Lineage: Eukaryota; Metazoa; Chordata; Mammalia; Rodentia; Bathyergidae.